RNAcentral lists this ribosomal RNA (448 nucleotides) under Ceriporiopsis jelicii. RNAcentral describes it as "SSU rRNA". It matches the Rfam family "Bacterial small subunit ribosomal RNA", at positions 429 to 919 of the family's 1533-position model. The record is from RNAcentral. Lineage: Eukaryota; Fungi; Basidiomycota; Agaricomycetes; Polyporales; Meruliaceae.
GGUGAUGUCGUAAGGGAAAAUAAUGAUAUUACCUUACUAAUAGUGUCGUCCAAAACUAGUGCCAGAAGACUCGGUAAGACCAGAGACGCAAACGUUAAUCAUCUUAAGCAGGCGUAAAGGGUUUGUAGGCUGCUCUGAAAGGAUUAUUUCUAAGCAAAAAAUAAUUUAACUAAGAGCUUUAAUAGAGGUUAUAAUUUGAGUAAUUCUUAGAGGAGGGUUGAUAUCUAUAGAUACUAAGAGGAAGUCUCAUGGCGAAAGCAUCUUUCCACUAAAGAUUGACGUUGAGAAACGAAAGUUGGAUAGGAAAUAGGAUUAGAUACCCCGGUACUCCCUUCUGUUAACAAUGAAUGGUAGUUAUUAGAGAAAUUCUAGUGGCGAAGCUAACGCGAUAACCAUUCCGCCUUGUAAGUACGACUGCAAAGUUGAAAACAAAAAAAUAAGUCGUUCU